RNAcentral lists this ribosomal RNA (494 nucleotides) under uncultured bacterium. RNAcentral's name for it is "partial 16S ribosomal RNA". It matches the Rfam family "Bacterial small subunit ribosomal RNA", at positions 28 to 523 of the family's 1533-position model. The record is from RNAcentral.
GACGAACGCUGGCGGCGCGCCUAACACAUGCAAGUCGAGCGAUGAACAUUGAAUGAUCCCUUCGGGGUGAUUUCGAUCGGAUUAGCGGCGAACGGGUGAGUAACGCGUGAGGAACCUGCCUCUUACAACGGGAUAGCCUCGGGAAACCGGGAUUAAUACCGUAUAAGACUCCGACAUCUCCUGAUGAUGAAGUCAAAGCGUUAGCGGUAAGAGAUGGCCUCGCGUCUGAUUAGCUUGUUGGCGGGGUAACGGCCCACCAAGGCGACGAUCAGUAACCGGCCUGAGAGGGUGAACGGUCACAUUGGAACUGAGACACGGUCCAAACUCCUACGGGAGGCAGCAGUGGGGAAUCUUGCACAAUGGGGGCAACCCUGAUGCAGCGACGCCGCGUGAGCGAUGAAGGUUUUCGAAUCGUAAAGCUCUGUCCUAUGGGAAGAUAAUGACGGUACCAUGGGAGGAAGCCCCGGCUAACUACGUGCCAGCCGCCGCAGUAA